RNAcentral lists this ribosomal RNA (232 nucleotides) under uncultured Arcobacter sp. RNAcentral's name for it is "partial 16S ribosomal RNA". It matches the Rfam family "Bacterial large subunit ribosomal RNA", at positions 1269 to 1510 of the family's 2925-position model. The record is from RNAcentral. Lineage: Bacteria; Pseudomonadati; Campylobacterota; Epsilonproteobacteria; Campylobacterales; Arcobacteraceae.
UUUGCUGGAGCGGAUAGAAGUAAGCAUGCAGGCAUGAGUAGCGAUAAUUAAGGUGAGAAUCCUUAACGCCGAAAACCCAAGGUUUCCUACGCGAUGCUCGUCAUCGUAGGGUUAGUCGGGUCCCAAGUCGAGACUGAAAAGUCCCGUCGAGGCAAAUUGGUUAAUAUUCCAAUACCAACAUAUAAGCGCGAUGUGGGACGCUCAGUAUUUAUCCGACUCCAUGAGAUUGGGG